GUUCACAAUGCCUCGGUGUGGCCAAAGCGAAAGUAACUUUCUGCUGAUGGUCGGUCCAUCCACUCAGGAGGGAAGGCUGACUCUGACCUCAUCAGUCGCGGGACCUCAUCAUCACCAACAUCCAGGCGGGCCCAGAGAUCGUCUCUGAUAUGACGAGGGGAACAGCAGCUGAGGAGGACGAGAGGAAGAAGAAGAAGAAGAAAAAGAAAAAGAGAAAAAAAAACCUUUGAUUAACACCGAGCAGGGUCACCAUGCUGGUGGUAGCUGGCUGGAACCCCCCCUAGCACUCGUCGACUGUUGAGUCUGAUCAUCCUUUGAGAUGCAGACACAGGGCUGCGCCUCUGAUGCUCACAAGUGAGAGGUGAUCGGUGUGGGAUUUGUGUGUGUGUGUGUGUUUUUUUUUUUGUGGACAUAGUCAUUUGUAAGGGAAGUAACA
Long non-coding RNA from Sardina pilchardus (European sardine), 436 nucleotides. RefSeq lists it as uncharacterized. The transcript is spliced from 3 exons. The record is from RefSeq and is a predicted model, not a curated record. Lineage: Eukaryota; Metazoa; Chordata; Actinopteri; Clupeiformes; Clupeidae.